Molecule: long non-coding RNA, 3954 nt
Organism: Pseudopipra pipra
Lineage: Eukaryota; Metazoa; Chordata; Aves; Passeriformes; Pipridae
Exons: 3
Source: RefSeq, a predicted model, not a curated record
ACUCUGGAGAGAGAAACAGAGAGAGAGGAGAUGUGGGGGGAUCUUGUCGUGCAUCUUGACCCUGCAGACAGGUGGCCUUGGGGGCAGGGGGCUCAUCCCAAGCACAGCCUCCCCCCCCAUGCCCCUCAGCACUGCCCAGGCAUGGUAUGGUGGGACACACACAUAGCCUUGCUUGAAAUCCUGGUGGAUCAAGAUCCCUGGGUCAUGUCCUGCCCUGGCCAGUCUGACCAAAGCAUUUUCCAGACUGUCAUUGCUGAGGCAGGGGCUGGGGAGUUUGGUGUCAGGUUCAAGAUGCACCUACCAUUUUUUUGCUCUUCUGUCAGCUGCUCAACCUGCAAGGAAAACACAGAGACCAAGUAAUUUUUCUUUGUCAGCAUCACUGACAGGACACAUUAUUUUUUCAACAGCCUUUGCAAAGAUCAGCCAAGUCUCACAACAGUCAUCCUCGUGUAUUAGGGGAUGUACAGCCAGUGGGGUUUUGACACCACAACUUUUUGUCUAAGAGAUUAUUCCCCUUAAAAAAACAAUUAUUCCCAUCUCCUUUGAAUCAAGCAUCACUUCUCUAGAGUAGCAGCUCCUACUACAUGGCAGAAAUAGCCUUUGCACAGGCAGGGGAGUCCCACUGGGAAAAAGAAUUUGCCUCCAUCAACCAUUUGGGAUAAUUUCUUUUUGCUGGCAGGCUUCACCAUGGGAUAUCUGCACUGCUGAGGGCUGCUCACAUGUGGGCUCUGCCUAGGUCAGAGGUGGGAUGUGCUUGAGAGGUCCCUGGGGAGGGAAAGGUGGACAAGACCAUUCCCAGCAUUUGUUUUUCAGCCCUAGAUUCAGGAAACUGCCUGCACUACCUAGAGCAUUAACUGCUUUACUUCCAUCUGAGUCAGUGUUAUUACAAAGGGUCUUGACUCUGAAGAGGACUGCUAUUCCCUUUAGCCUGUUUUGGGAAUCUCCCUGAAGAAAUGGCCUGUGGAGCCAUUAGGCAUUAGCUAAAAUGGACUGGCAGAUUGUUCCUAAACUCUGCCCUAAUUCAAUCCCCUCAGACCAUCAGUGGGAGCUCAUUAGUUAGUAUGAAUUAACAAAAUAAUCACUAAGGAGAGCAAAGAGGAAUCAGUCAGCUCUGUGCCAUACCUGUCUAAGUGCAUUUCUCUCUUUGGCUUCAUUCCUGCCUGCAGGUACUGCUUAUCUAAAAUUGCUGACCUCACCACCGUGUCCAACUGCCCCUUUUACAGCAUCCAUGAAAACACUGACCCUUCCUAUGCUGGUCAACAGCCUCUCUGGAGCCAGCCAGGGACAGGUUUCUCUGGCUGAAGUGUGGGAAGGCAAGCUCUGAGCUCGGAGGUCACAGCACUACAGCAGCCAUGGUAACACCAAAUCUUCUGUAUUGUGCUUUUAUCAGCUAUCCUCUCCAUCUAUCCCAUGGUUCCAUUUGACGUCAGAUAGGGGAAAUUGAAAUUCUUCAAUUUUUUUUCCAGGAAACUGGGACUCACUUCACCCAACCAGCAAGAUGACCCGUCCCCACUGCAAAUGGCUAAAAUCCACACUCCUGGAUUUACCGUGGAUUUACUCCUCCACGGUGGAAAGCAAAACACACCAAAAACCUCUAAGUGAUGAGCAGCGUUUUCUCAGUCCGGGAAAAAGCGAUUUAAUCCAGCAACAGAAGUCAAACCUCUCCUUUUAGUGAUUCAGGACUCCCUCUUGUGUCCAGAGGGGCUAUGGAUGGCUCCGGCACCUCAGGAUACAAAGUCCCACCCCCAGCUGGCUCAUACCAGCGUUAGUUAGCAAAACAGAAAAUAAUAUUGGUGCAGCUGUUAGGUUUCAUCCUUUCUAAAAUCCCUUCUCCGUUUAAGAGGAAUCAUACUGCGUGGAAAAACCUGCUGUCCCUGUGGAAUUCCCAGCCAAAGCAGCUUUAAUCAGAGACCCUGCUGGUGUCAGCACAAAGUGAGGACAUGGGUGAACACAGAGAUGUCUCCACACCACAUCCUCCCAGGUUUUGAGUCCUGAAGGAUUAACUUGUUAGGAACUGUGGUCCUGUGGGUACCCACCGGCCUUGAUUUACACAGCUUCAGCCCAGAUCUGCCUCCAGAUGGAAUAGCAAGGAAAAUAGUUGCGUUUAAGGAAUUAAUUUUUGAAGCAGUUAGUCUUGAGAAUUGGAACAUGUUAAUAUUUUGGUUGCCUUGAACACAGAAGAAGCAGGAAAAGCUGCAAAGGGAAGUAGUUAUUUUGUUAAAGGGCAUUGGAUCCUGUCCUUAGGUGAGGGCACAGGAUGGGUCCUUAGGAUGAAGGACCUGCUGUCACCCACAAUUAAAUCAUCCCUCAGAACCUCCUGGGCAAGCUCAUAGAGACCUUCCCAGUGAAGUGCUGCCCCAAAGCAAACCCGUGCCCCUGGCUGCUUUCUCCCCUCAGGAUUCACUGCAGGUGCCAGCACUGGGCAGUACAAGUGUGAGGAAUCACGCCUGGCCCUGGCCCUCUCUCCUGGGAGGUGAUGGCUCUGAGUCACCCCUCUGAAAACAGCCCCUGGGAUGCGUCAGAAUGUAUCCAGGGCCAAUGUAGAGCGGGAAUGGGAGCUCUAACAUGGCCUUUAAAAGGUUGUGGCUGCGCUGCUGGAGCAGCUGGGUUGAAAUUGAGGUCGGGAUGAGGAAGAAGAGUCUCUGUCUGCUUAGAGGAAAUCUGGGCCACUGCCACCAUACACACUGACGUGGGAUGGCUGCACUUCUGCAAAUGUCUGAUACGAACAGGGACUUACAAAACAGAGCUGUGCCUGGAGGGAAAGGAUGAAAUCCAUCUGGUGACAGGAGAUGAUGUUCCUCCCAGGGAAGGAGGCACAGGCGAGGGGCAUCGUGCCAACCGCUGCCUCCUCGCCUGCUGCUUGGAGCCAAAGCUUCCAGCAUCCCCUGUCUCUUCGAAGUUCUUUGCUUACAAAAGAAUUGGUAUUUUGUAGAGAAACCCAGAGCCUCUGCCAUGCACAGGGCAGGGGGAGGCUGCUACAGGUAUGGAGUGUCCUGGGGAUAACCAUCCGCUCCUGCUGCUUCUCUUGCUCUCCGUGUGAGACCCAGGGCAGAGAUGGAGCGUGGCUAUCUAUAGCCUGGGGAGGGCUGCCAGCUCAAGUGCCCUUAAUCCGGGCAUGGCUGGCUCGGUGGCACGCCAGCUGUCACUGUGGUCAGGUACAGCAUGUCAGCCUGGGCUCCAGCUGCACCCUGACACGCUGCCACACUUGUCAGUCAGUCUAAGGUACCAAGACAAACAGAAGGUUUUACUGUGCUUUUUUCCUCCAAAAUCUCGGAUUAGGUUUGCAUUUCCAAGCAGCUGUAAUCCAGGGCAAAACUCACAGAGGCAUCCUUCAGGUCAAAUGCAGGGAAAUACAAAGCAGAAGCCCAACUAAGAUGCAAUUUUGUUUGGGGUCAGGGCUGUUUGCAAGGCUCCUUGGUUUCUGUUGUGGUUCCAAACUGCAGCAAAACUCUCCAGCAUCCCCCUUCCCUGCAUCGGGCACUGGCCCUAGGAGAGGCCAGACCCACACCACUGAAGUUCUUUAACACUGCUUCCUAAAUUCACCUCAGAGACUUUUUGCUGAACAAGCCCCCAUUUGCCCCCUUUCAUCUUCUCUGUGAGCCAGGACAGGGCUGUCACACCAGGAGCCACCUCUGUGCCUGCAGGCAGGAACUGCGUUAGGAGGAGGAGAAGGGAACUGAUGGCAACUGACAGGCGCGCCAGUGCUGCAAAUUGUUAUUUAAUUAAGGAGACGGGACAUUGAGAGGAAGCUUAAUUAAAGUUGCUCUCCAAACCCACUUAUUAUCUCAUGAAGAGGCUGAGCUCAGCAGCAGCUCCUGAUGCUGGGACAGCAACAGAAAAUCCCUCUUGGUUUGCCUGCACUACAUGUGUUUUCUCCUGGCACACAUCAUCCUUCGGCUACAUCCUGACCAACAGAAAGCAUUUUUCAGUGAAAAUAAAAUCAAAAUGGGUUUA